UCUGUAUGCCAUUUCCAUGCUAUUGCAUUGCGUAUGCCAUUGCCUCGGUUUGCGUGCCCAUGUGCACGCAUUUCGAGGCACUUCAUUUUCAUCUAU
This 96-nucleotide small RNA is filed under the name Camellia sinensis. RNAcentral describes it as "transcribed RNA". Lineage: Eukaryota; Viridiplantae; Streptophyta; Magnoliopsida; Ericales; Theaceae. The record is from RNAcentral.